GUGCACCAGUCGCGAAACCUUCACAAUGCACGAAAGUGUGAUGAGGGUACUCCGAGUGCGCAUACAUUGUAUGUGCUUUUCUGCAGCGUAAAUAGUUGCAGGAAUAAGGGCUGGGCAAGACCGGUGCCAGCCGCCGCGGUAACACCGGCAGCCCUAGUGGUGGCCGCUUUUAUUGGGCCUAAAGCGUCCGUAGCCGGACAGGCGAGUCUUUGGGUAAAUCCUACGUCUUAAGCGUGGGAAUUCUAAAGAUACUACCUGUCUUGAGGCCGGGAGAGGCUGGAGGUACUCCUGGGGUAGGGGUAAAAUCCUAUAAUCCUGGGGGGACCACCGAUGGCGAAGGCAUCCAGCUGGAACGGGCCUGACGGUGAGGGACGAAACCCAGGGGAGCGAGCCGGAUUAGAUACCCCCGUAGUCC
Molecule: ribosomal RNA, 415 nt
Filed under: Methanothermobacter sp. enrichment culture
Lineage: Archaea; Methanobacteriati; Methanobacteriota; Methanobacteria; Methanobacteriales; Methanobacteriaceae
Description: bacterial SSU rRNA
Rfam family: Archaeal small subunit ribosomal RNA
Source: RNAcentral